This 24-nucleotide small nuclear RNA is filed under the name Arabidopsis thaliana (thale cress). RNAcentral describes it as "snRNA_11988". Lineage: Eukaryota; Viridiplantae; Streptophyta; Magnoliopsida; Brassicales; Brassicaceae. The record is from RNAcentral.
CCCUCGCGGGUGCACCGCCGACCG